AAUUGAACCCGACGAGGACCAUAAUGGGAUCAGGCAGCCAGUGGGACCAGGGCAAGGCUUUGCCAUUGCACAUCGGCUUAGCUACCAUUGCAAUUAAGCCAUGUUUGGGUAACUCGGUCGUAUAAUUUUUAGUAUAGGGGACUGAGUUCUACCACCUU
This 158-nucleotide small nuclear RNA is filed under the name Ciona savignyi (Pacific transparent sea squirt). RNAcentral's name for it is "U1 spliceosomal RNA (ENSCSAVG00000012247.1)". It matches the Rfam family "U1 spliceosomal RNA". Rfam says of the family: U1 is a small nuclear RNA (snRNA) component of the spliceosome (involved in pre-mRNA splicing). Its 5' end forms complementary base pairs with the 5' splice junction, thus defining the 5' donor site of an intron. Lineage: Eukaryota; Metazoa; Chordata; Ascidiacea; Phlebobranchia; Cionidae. The record is from RNAcentral.